Long non-coding RNA from Cyprinus carpio (common carp), 477 nucleotides. RefSeq lists it as uncharacterized. The transcript is spliced from 3 exons. The record is from RefSeq and is a predicted model, not a curated record. NCBI's taxonomy places the organism in Eukaryota, Metazoa, Chordata, Actinopteri, Cypriniformes, Cyprinidae.
UGUUCAGUUUUACAGAUAUAAUGAAGGGUACAUUCAGCGUGUCUGUCAGUCUGUUGCUGCUGUGUGUUUUGUGGGGUGACAGUCAGCCUGUACACACUGCUGCUCACACUGUCAGAGAGAUGAUAGAGCUCCUGAGAGCGAUGACUCCAGUCAAUGAGCAGGAGGAUCAGGACACAGAGCUGAUGGACUCUCCCGAGGUUCUGUGGCCUAAUACUGAGGAUCUGGAGAAAAGAAACCUGCCACGUCUAGGAGUAGCAAUACAUAGGGCUUUACCCUCAAGAGUCCACAGCAGUAAGUCCGUAGAUGCAUCUAGAUAUCGUUUGUCUUCUCCAGCUAAGUGGAUGUCCAGUCUCCAAGGUUGAAGAAUAGUAAUUGUUUGAUUCAUCUGUCUCAAAAAUGCUUGAAGGUUUACACACAACUCUCAUCCGCAUGAAGAACUCAUUGUUAGACAAUAAAUAAAAGGAGUUACAAAAUAUA